This 124-nucleotide microRNA precursor is filed under the name Arabidopsis thaliana x Arabidopsis arenosa. RNAcentral describes it as "MIR405". It matches the Rfam family "MIR405 microRNA precursor family". Lineage: Eukaryota; Viridiplantae; Streptophyta; Magnoliopsida; Brassicales; Brassicaceae. The record is from RNAcentral.
UCAACCCAUUUAACCUUCUAACCCAUCAAAUUAAAUGAGUUCAUGGGUUGACUCAACUCAUUUAAGCAAAUGAGUUGAGUCAACCCAUGAACUCAUUUAACUCUAAACUCAUUGGGUAAUGAGU